This 439-nucleotide ribosomal RNA is filed under the name uncultured bacterium. RNAcentral describes it as "bacterial SSU rRNA". It matches the Rfam family "Bacterial small subunit ribosomal RNA", at positions 338 to 795 of the family's 1533-position model. The record is from RNAcentral.
CCUACGGGAGGCAGCAGUGGGGAAUAUUGCACAAUGGGCGAAAGCCUGAUGCAGCAACGCCGCGUGAGCGGUGAAGGUCUUCGGAUCGUAAAGCUCUGUCCUCAAGGAAGAAUUUUGACGAUACUUGAGGAGGAAGCCCCGGCUAACUACGUGCCAGCAGCCGCGGUAAUACGUAGGGGGCUAGCGUUAUCCGGAAUUACUGGGCGUAAAGGGUGCGUAGGCGGCCUUGCAAGUCAGAGGUGAAAGGCUACGGCUCAACCGUAGUAAGCCUUUGAAACUGUAAGGCUUGAGUGAGGGAGAGGGGGUUGAAUUUCCCAGGUAGGGGUGGAAAGGCGUGGUAUUGGGGGGAAACACCGUUGGGGAGGCCGGUUCUUGGGAUGUAACUGACGCUGAGGCACGAAAGCGUGGGGAGCGAACAGGAUUAGAUACCCUGGUAGUC